Molecule: long non-coding RNA, 425 nt
Organism: Ornithodoros turicata
Lineage: Eukaryota; Metazoa; Arthropoda; Arachnida; Ixodida; Argasidae
Exons: 3
Source: RefSeq, a predicted model, not a curated record
UAAGUCGGCAUGGCCAGUUGGCGUCAAUGUGUCAGUUGUUGGUGGUUGUCGGAGUUGUGUCAUCCUUUCAUCUCUUCAUACUGUGAAUAUCUGUGACGCAAGCUACUGUGCCACGCGCAGUAUCUUCAAAGUAACCAGUUGAAGGCCGGCCGAACCAAGAGAAGGUACAAGCGGGACAUAGGAACCAAAUCCGAACUACGGUGUGAAGCAAGGACAUCGUAUGACAAGGCACCGAAGACGGGCGAGAAGAUUAUUCCUUCGAACGCUUCAGCGUGCAUUUCAUCUGAAACAUCGUCUACGCAGAGUGCAGCUUACAUGAGAUCUUUUAAAGCUCCACAGUGUGUGUUGCUGUGAAAUAUAUGAUAUGAUGUAAUAGGUGAUGUGACUGCAGAUGUGAUGUGCUGAACAGUAUGCGUGAACAUGUG